RNAcentral lists this transfer RNA (71 nucleotides) under Mus musculus (house mouse). It matches the Rfam family "tRNA". From Rfam's summary of the family: Transfer RNA (tRNA) molecules are approximately 80 nucleotides in length. The record is from Rfam by way of RNAcentral. Lineage: Eukaryota; Metazoa; Chordata; Mammalia; Rodentia; Muridae.
CUGGUUGUAAUUCAGUGGUAGAUUGCUUGACUAGCAUUCAAAAGGCCCUGGGUUCAAUACCCAGUACCAGA